GCAAGUCGAGGGGUAACGGGGUGCUUGCACCGCCGACGACCGGCGCACGGGUGCGUAACGCGUAUACAAUCUACCUUUUACAGGAGGAUAGCCUUUAGAAAUGAAGAUUAAUACUCCAUGGUAUUAUUGAUUGGCAUCAAUUAAUAAUUAAAGCUUCGGUGGUAAAAGAUGAGUAUGCGUUCUAUUAGCUAGAUGGUGUGGUAACGGCACACCAUGGCAACGAUAGAUAGGGGCCCUGAGAGGGGGAUC
RNAcentral lists this ribosomal RNA (249 nucleotides) under uncultured bacterium. RNAcentral describes it as "partial 16S ribosomal RNA". It matches the Rfam family "Bacterial small subunit ribosomal RNA", at positions 57 to 305 of the family's 1533-position model. The record is from RNAcentral.